GAAGAUGAUGAUAUGUAUUGUCGCCCCAGUCUUAGUUGCAUCUAUUGAUGCACGGUGGUGACUGACAGAGUAUCUGAUUC
Cucurbita pepo subsp. pepo (vegetable marrow) is the source of this 80-nucleotide non-coding RNA. NCBI's taxonomy places the organism in Eukaryota, Viridiplantae, Streptophyta, Magnoliopsida, Cucurbitales, Cucurbitaceae. The record is from RefSeq and is a predicted model, not a curated record.